UGCUGGAGGUAUCAGAAGUGCGAAUGCUGACAUAAGUAACGAUAAAGCGGGUGAAAAGCCCGCUCGCCGGAAGACCAAGGGUUCCUGUCCAACGUUAAUCGGGGCAGGGUGAGUCGACCCCUAAGGCGAGGCCGAAAGGCGUAGUCGAUGGGAAACAGGUUAAUAUUCCUGUACUUGGUGUUACUGCGAAGGGGGGACGGAGAAGGCUAUGUUAGCCGGGCGACGGUUGUCCCGGUUUAAGCAUGUAGGCGGAGGUUCCAGGUAAAUCCGGUACCUUUUAACGCUGAGGUGUGAUGACGAGGCACUACGGUGCUGAAGUAACAAAUGCCCUGCUUCCAGGAAAAGCCUCUAAGCAUCAGGUAACAUUAAAUCGUACCCCAAACCGACACAGGUGGUCAGGUAGAGAAUACCAAGGCGCUUGAGAGAACUCGGGUGAAGGAACUAGGCAAAAUGGUGCCGUAACUUCGGGAGAAGGCACGCUGGUGUGUAGGUGAAGUCCCUGCGGACGGAGCUGAGACCAGUCGAAGAUACCAGCUGGCUGCAACUGUUUAUUAAAAACACAGCACUGUGCAAACACGAAAGUGGACGUAUACGGUGUGACGCCUGCCCGGUGCCGGAAGGUUAAUUGAUGGGGUUAUCCGUAAGGAGAAGCUCUUGAUCGAAGCCCCGGUAAACGGCGGCCGUAACUAUAACGGUCCUAAGGUAGCGAAAUUCCUUGUCGGGUAAGUUCCGACCUGCACGAAUGGCGUAAUGAUGGCCAGGCUGUCUCCACCCGAGACUCAGUGAAAUUGAACUCGCUGUGAAGAUGCAGUGUACCCGCGGCAAGACGGAAAGACCCCGUGAACCUUUACUAUAGCUUGACACUGAACAUUGAGCCUUGAUGUGUAGGAUAGGUGGGAGGCUUUGAAGCGUGGACGCCAGUCUGCGUGGAGCCAACCUUGAAAUACCACCCUUUAAUGUUUGAUGUUCUAACGUAGGCCCCUAAUCGGGGUUGCGGACAGUGUCUGGUGGGUAGUUUGACUGGGGCGGUCUCCUCCCAAAGAGUAACGGAGGAGCACGAAGGUUAGCUAAUCCUGGUCGGACAUCAGGAGGUUAGUGCAAUGGCAUAAGCUAGCUUGACUGCGAGCGUGACGGCGCGAGCAGGUGCGAAAGCAGGUCAUAGUGAUCCGGUGGUUCUGAAUGGAAGGGCCAUCGCUCAACGGAUAAAAGGUACUCCGGGGAUAACAGGCUGAUACCGCCCAAGAGUUCAUAUCGACGGCGGUGUUUGGCACCUCGAUGUCGGCUCAUCACAUCCUGGGGCUGAAGUAGGUCCCAAGGGUAUGGCUGUUCGCCAUUUAAAGUGGUACGCGAGCUGGGUUUAGAACGUCGUGAGACAGUUCGGUCCCUAUCUGCCGUGGGCGCUGGAGAAUUGAGGGGGGCUGCUCCUAGUACGAGAGGACCGGAGUGGACGCAUCACUGGUGUUCGGGUUGUCAUGCCAAUGGCACUGCCCGGUAGCUAAAUGCGGAAGAGAUAAGUGCUGAAAGCAUCUAAGCACGAAACUUGCCCCGAGAUGAGUUCUCCCUGAGACUAUAAGUCUCCUGAAGGAACGUUGAAGACGACGACGUUGAUAGGCCGGGUGUGUAAGCGCAGCGAUGCGUUGAGCUAACCGGUACUAAUGAACCGUGAGGCUUAACCUUACAACGCCGAAG
Molecule: ribosomal RNA, 1689 nt
Filed under: Klebsiella variicola
Lineage: Bacteria; Pseudomonadati; Pseudomonadota; Gammaproteobacteria; Enterobacterales; Enterobacteriaceae
Description: bacterial LSU rRNA
Rfam family: Bacterial large subunit ribosomal RNA
Source: RNAcentral